This 478-nucleotide ribosomal RNA is filed under the name uncultured bacterium. RNAcentral describes it as "partial 16S ribosomal RNA". It matches the Rfam family "Bacterial small subunit ribosomal RNA", at positions 28 to 507 of the family's 1533-position model. The record is from RNAcentral.
GAUGAACGCUGGCGGCGUGCUUAACACAUGCCAGUCGAACGAGAAAUGGAGACGGAAACCUUCGGGCGGAAGGCUUCAUUUCGAGUGGCGGACGGGUGAGUAACGCGUGGGUAACCUGCCUCAUACAGGGGGAUAACAGUUGGAAACGACUGUUAAUACCGCAUAAGACCACAGCACCGCAUGGUGCGGGGGUAAAAACUCCGGUGGUAUGAGAUGGACCCGCGUUCGAUUAGCCAGUUGGCGGGGUAACGGCCCACCAAAGCGACGAUCGAUAGCCGAUCUGAGAGGAUGACCGGCCACAUUGGGACUGAGACACGGCCCAAACUCCUACGGGAGGCAGCAGUGGGGAAUAUUGCACAAUGGGGGAAACCCUGAUGCAGCGACGCCGCGUGAGUGAAGAAGUACUUCGGUAUGUAAAGCUCUAUCAGCAGGGAAGAAAAUGACGGUACCUGAGGAAGAAGCCCCGGCUAACUACGUG